UUUCGUUCUUUAAAAGAAAAAAAAUUUCAUUUUUUUAUAUUGGUUUUUAUAUUGGUGAGGCAAACCCUAAUUGGGGCUCUAAAUAUGGAAGAGAAUGUGAAGCUGUUGUUUAUUCAUCUGUAUUUGGCAAAAGUAAGAGAACAGAAAGAGAUUAUAUGCUCAACCUUAAGAACUCAGACACUACAUUCAUUAUGCAAAACAGACAAUUCAGCCUGAUGUGACUGACAAGGCAUCCUAAGAGAUUGCAUCAGCAUCUGCAGACCUCAGAGCUUCCAGUUCAAAUGCGAAGACUGGAGGAACACUUAAUCUAAGAAACCAUCAUACGCCUCUCAACUGCUCAUGCUAACUUGAAACUGAGAAGAGAGGUUUCAAAAUCUGAUGUUAAGGCUGCUAUGAAAGUUCUAAACUUUGCAAUAUAUAUAUAUAUAUAUAUAUGAAGACCUUACUGAGAUAAAGAAGCACAAGCAAGAAAGAACGAAAGAGAGCAAUUGCAGAACAGAAGUCAUCCAAGUGAAAAUCGUAGAUCUGAAAGUGGUACAGCUAGUAUAGAAGACCACUGCCAUGCAAAUAGAUGAUCUUGCUGUCCAAUCUGCUUCUGCUAUUUCUUCAGAAAGAAUUAAAGCAUUUAAAUAUUUAUUUGGUCUGCAUAUGCAUUUGAAUCGCUUGGAAUGGAUUUUCUAUUGAGGAUAUAGAGAAGGAUGUCAACUCUAGAGUAUAUGUCUGCUUCUCAAGAGCAGAGAUAACAAGCCUAUUGGAGAUGAUGCAACGUGAUAACAUAGUUAUGGUAAAUAAUGAAAAGAUGCAUAUGAUUACCUGUAUGAAUGCCCAUCUGCAAUGGCUAAAUCUGGUAGAUGUAUCUAAGUUGUAUAAACUUUUCAUUGUGAUCCAGACAUGGCUUAGAUGCAUUUGUUGCUAAACUGAACUCUUUGAGGAAAACUGUUGCAUACCACAUUUUUGCAUC
Ziziphus jujuba (common jujube) is the source of this 961-nucleotide long non-coding RNA. RefSeq lists it as uncharacterized. The record is from RefSeq and is a predicted model, not a curated record. NCBI's taxonomy places the organism in Eukaryota, Viridiplantae, Streptophyta, Magnoliopsida, Rosales, Rhamnaceae. The transcript is spliced from 7 exons.